RNAcentral lists this ribosomal RNA (735 nucleotides) under Colwellia sp. Spegb29. RNAcentral's name for it is "bacterial SSU rRNA". It matches the Rfam family "Bacterial small subunit ribosomal RNA", at positions 70 to 798 of the family's 1533-position model. Lineage: Bacteria; Pseudomonadati; Pseudomonadota; Gammaproteobacteria; Alteromonadales; Colwelliaceae. The record is from RNAcentral.
GAGAAUAAGCUUGCUAUUCGGCGUCGAGCGGCGGACGGGUGAGUAAUGCUUGGGAAUAUGCCUUAUGGUGGGGGACAACAGUUGGAAACGACUGCUAAUACCGCAUAAUGUCUACGGACCAAAGGGGGGGAUCUUCGGACCUCUCGCCAUUUGAUUAGCCCAAGUGAGAUUAGCUAGUUGGUAAGGUAAUGGCUUACCAAGGCGACGAUCUCUAGCUGGUUUGAGAGGAUGAUCAGCCACACUGGGACUGAGACACGGCCCAAACUCCUACGGGAGGCAGCAGUGGGGAAUAUUGCACAAUGGGCGAAAGCCUGAUGCAGCCAUGCCGCGUGUGUGAAGAAGGCCUUCGGGUUGUAAAGCACUUUCAGCGAGGAGGAAAGGGGUGUAUUUAAUAACUGCAUCCUGUGACGUUACUCGCAGAAGAAGCACCGGCUAACUUCGUGCCAGCAGCCGCGGUAAUACGAGGGGUGCAAGCGUUAAUCGGAAUUACUGGGCGUAAAGCGUGCGUAGGUGGUUUGUUAAGCAAGAUGUGAAAGCCCCGGGCUCAACCUGGGAACUGCAUUUUGAACUGGCAAACUAGAGUAUUGUAGAGGGUAGUGGAAUUUCCAGUGUAGCGGUGAAAUGCGUAGAGAUUGGAAGGAACAUCAGUGGCGAAGGCGGCUACCUGGACAAAUACUGACACUGAGGCACAAAAGCGUGGGGAGCAAACAGGAUUAGAUACCCUGGUUAGUCCAC